RNA transcript from Cornus florida, 2861 nucleotides. It is a transcript of the gene named fructokinase-like 1, chloroplastic, with no coding region annotated. The record is from RefSeq and is a predicted model, not a curated record. The transcript is spliced from 4 exons. NCBI's taxonomy places the organism in Eukaryota, Viridiplantae, Streptophyta, Magnoliopsida, Cornales, Cornaceae.
CACAUAUAACAAACCCUAACUUUCUCUCUCCUCAUCCUUCGCUAACACUCUCUCUCAUCAUCCUUCUCUUCUCUUCGCUAACUCUCUCUCUCAUCAUCCUCUCUCUUCUUUCUGUUUCUCUCUCUGCGGCCAUUCAUGGGCGAAGCUUGCGAGUUGAGAGGGGGCGAAGCUUGCGAGUUGAGAGGGGCUUAAUUUUUUUUUUUUUUCUCCUUUCUUUCUUUCUCUCUCUUCUUUUUCUUUCUCUUUCUCUCUCUGCCGCCGUCCAUGGGCGAAGCUUGAGAGUUGAGAGACAGCGGCUGAAGCUUGCGAACGGCGAACCCGAACUGGAACAGCGGGCGAUGGAAACUGAAAGAUAUGGGUUUUGAUUUUUUGAACAAUCUGAAAUGAUAUGCCGAUUUGGGUUUUGAUAUAGGUAAUAGGUUUUGAACUUUUGAUUAUUGCAACAGAUAGAUAAACUGAAAUAUAUAGGUUUUGAAAUUCUGAUUCUUGUAGAUUUAGUACUUUGCAGUUGCAGAGAGAGAGAGAGAAGGCAAGUUCGGAGUUGAGAACGUGAAGAGAGAUGGAGGCGGCGAUUGGUAAGGCUGAAACGAUUUGCCCUAAAUAUAUAUAUAUAUAUAUAUAUUAAUAAUAAUAUAACAAAAAAUAUAUAAUAUACAUAUAUAUAUAAUAUAUAUAAAUUUCCCCAAAAAAAAUAAUAAAAAAAAAAAAAAAUCAUAACCCGUCAACCUGACCCAACCCAACCCGCCCGAAAAAAUUCAGUUCGGGUUAUGACUACAACCCAUGUUGGGUGUAAUUCGGGUUAGCCCAACCCGAUUCGGGUUGAGGUUGGGUUGGGCCAACCCAACUUGCAGCCCUACCAUCAACCCGUUACACAACCCAUACUGAGCCCGAUACAUCAACCACAACCCGACCCAAGAGUUCAAAACAAAAUUCUAGAUAUAACGGGGACAUAUGGAUAUGGAUAAACCCUAACAUUUAGCCAUGGCAACAUUUCAGCUGUUACUUCAGUCACCUCUUCCUCAUCCCCACCUUCAACACUCUCUCUCUUCAUCCCCAAACUCACAAACCCAAUUCAAAAUUACAACCAACUGGUUCAUUCCCACACCCAAAUUUCACAAAACAAAGCCACCAAAAUCAUCCAUCCAUGGCGACAUUAACAACUCUCCAGAAGAAGUUGAUGAUCCCCCAAAACCCACUCGCCGAGGUCGCAAAAAGAGCACCGUCCCAUCAUCAUCUUCAACAGAAACAACGACAAAGCGAAAACGUUCACCCAAAACACAGAUUCAGAAUAGCUCAAUUGAAGCCACCAACCCAAAAGAAACCCUAAAAGAUUUAGCAAAUUUGAUAGCUGACGAAGAGGACUAUGAUGAUGGGAUUGAUUUUCCGUACGAAGACCCGCCAUUGAUAUGCUGCUUCGGAGCUGUACAAAAGGAGUUUGUGCCCACUGUGCGUGUGUCCGAAGAGCAAAUGCAUCCUGACAUGUACUCUCAUUGGAAGAUGCUGCAGUGGAACCCGCCGGAGUUCGUGAGAGCGCCCGGUGGGCCCCCUUCGAACGUCGCGAUAUCACAUGUGAGGCUUGGUGGCCGGGCGGCGUUUAUGGGGAAGGUUGGGAAUGAUCAGUUUGGGGAAGAGUUGGUUUUGAUGAUGAAUAAAGAGAGAGUGCAGACUCGGGCAGUGAAGUUUGAUAAGAAUGUGAAGACGAGUUGUGCUUAUAUGAAGAUCAAGUUUGAUGAGGGCAAGAUGAGGGUGGAGAUGGCUAAAGAAUCAGCUGAAGAUUCUUUACUUAGUUCUGAAUUGAACCUUGCUGUGCUUAAAGAGGCCAGAAUGUUCCAUUUCAAUUCAGAAGUUCUAACAUCUUCUUCUAUGCAAUCUACCCUUUUUAAAGCAAUUGCAUGGUCGAAAAAGUUUGGCGGCCUUAUAUUUUUUGAUUUGAAUCUGCCCUUGCCUUUAUGGAAAUCACGUGAUGAGACAUGGGAAUCGAUCAAGCCAGCCUGGGAACAAGCAGACAUCAUUGAGGUGACAAAGCAAGAGCUAGAAUUUCUUCUAGAUGAAGAGCAUUACGAGAGGAGGAGGAAUUAUAGGCCUCAAUACUAUGCUCAGGAUUAUGAGCAGACCAAGCACCGGCGAGAUUACUAUCAUUACACCCGUGAAGAAAUCUCCCCAUUGUGGCAUGAUAAGCUAAAGUUUUUAUUCGUGACAGAUGGGACGCUGCGGAUUCAUUACUACGCCCCUUCUUUUGAUGGAGUGGCGGUGGGAACUGAAGAUGUGCUCAUAACUCCAUUCACCUGUGAUAGGACUGGCUCUGGGGAUGCUGUUGUGGCAGGUAUCAUGAGAAAGCUGACCACUCAGCCUGAUAUGUAUGAUAAUCAAGAUACUUUGGAGAGGCAACUUCGUUUUGCAAUUGCAGCUGGGAUUAUAUCACAGUGGACAAUAGGUGCAGUGAGAGGUUUUCCUACAGAGAGCGCCACCCAGAAUCUGAAAGAACAGGUUUAUGUGCCUUCAAUGUGGUAGACCUUGGUAUGCAUGGCCAAGUCUUAGUACAUGACAUGGUAAUCCUGUUCAGGAGCAGGAGUUUGUGAAGCAUCCAAAAGUUGGAAGGACUUUGCAUGGAGCUAAAAAUGAUCCUUUUUUUUGGGUACCUUUAGAUGUUUUUUUCUCCAUGUGUAUAUUAGAAGUCCAUCAUGAAGCAUGUCUAAUGGUCUGCACUCAAUGUUGGUUUAUGAUGGAUUUCCCUGGCUUUUACAUGCCAUGUUGUUACAUCUUUAAUUUCUUGUCCAUUAUCACCACUGUGAUUCUUAUGGCUAAUAAUUUCUGUGGCCUAAUUUUCGCCUCUUUAUCAUUUCAUGGUUGUCAUCCUUAAA